AACGAACGCUGGCGGCAUGCCUAACACAUGCAAGUCGAACGAGACCGUCGGGUCUAGUGGCGCACGGGGGCGUAACGCGGGGGAACCUGCCCGUAGGUUCGGAAUAACUGCCCGAAGGGGGUGCUAAUACCGGAUAAUGUCUUCGGACCAAAGAGUUAUCGCCUUUGGAUGGGCCCGCGUUGGAUUAGCUAGUUGGUAGGGUAAAAGCCUACCAAGGCGACGAUCCAUAGCUGGUCUGAGAGGAUGAUCCGCCACACUGGGACUGAGACACGGCCCAGACUCCUACGGGAGGCAGCAGUGGGGAAUAUUGGACAAUGGGCGAAAGCCUGAUCCAGCCAUGCCGCGUGAGUGAUGAAGGCCUUAGGGUUGUAAAGCUCUUUUACCCGGGAUGAUAAUGACAGUACCGGGAGAAUAAGCUCCGGCUAACUCCGUG
RNAcentral lists this ribosomal RNA (433 nucleotides) under uncultured bacterium. Its description in RNAcentral is "partial 16S ribosomal RNA". It matches the Rfam family "Bacterial small subunit ribosomal RNA", at positions 29 to 507 of the family's 1533-position model. The record is from RNAcentral.